This 402-nucleotide ribosomal RNA is filed under the name uncultured bacterium. RNAcentral describes it as "bacterial SSU rRNA". It matches the Rfam family "Bacterial small subunit ribosomal RNA", at positions 917 to 1322 of the family's 1533-position model. The record is from RNAcentral.
GGGCCCGCACAAGCGGUGGAGCAUGUGGUUUAAUUCGAUGAUAUGCGAGGAACCUUACCAGGGCUUAAAUGGGAAAUGACAGGGGCAGAGACGCCCCCUUCUUCGGACAUUUUUCAAGGUGCUGCAUGGUUGUCGUCAGCUCGUGCCGUGAGGUGUCAGGUUAAGUCCUAUAACGAGCGCAACCCUCGUUUCCAGUUGCCAGCGGGUAAUGCCGGGGACUCUGGAAAGACAAACCUCUUGUUGAGGUGGGAAGGUGGGGACGACGUCAAGUCAGUAUGGCCCUUACGACCAGGGCUGCACACGUGCUACAAUGCCCGGCACAAUGGGAUGCAAUAUCGCGAGAUUGAGCAAAUCCACAAAACCGGGCCCAGUUCGGAUUGGAGUCUGCAACUCGACUCCAUG